GGACUACCAGGGUUUCUAAUCCCGUUUGCUCCCCUGGCUUUCGCGCCUCAGCGUCAGUGGGGACCCAGCGGACCGCUUUCGCCACCGGCGUUCCUUCCGAUAUCAACGCAUUUCACCGCUCCACCGGAAGUUCCGUCCGCCCCUAUCCCCCUCGAGCUUCGCAGUAUCGGGGGCACUUUUCCGGUUGAGCCGAAAGAUUUCACCCCCGACUUUCAAAGCCGCCUACGCGCCCUUUAAGCCCAGUGAUUCCGAACAACGUUCGCACGGUUCGUCUUACCGCGGCUGCUGGCAC
This 292-nucleotide ribosomal RNA is filed under the name uncultured Planctomycetota bacterium. RNAcentral's name for it is "uncultured planctomycete partial 16S ribosomal RNA". The record is from RNAcentral. Lineage: Bacteria; Pseudomonadati; Planctomycetota.